CCAACUUCCGGGUAGUGGCGCCGCACGCCCGCGGCGGCUUCGCCCCGGCUUCCCCUCCCCCGACCCCCUCGCCGCGCCCUCCGUUCCUUUGAUUCCCGGCCCCACCCGCCAAAAUGAACGGCGCGGACGAGGAGAAGCAGCUGCAGCUCAUCACCAGCCUGAAGGAGCAAGCAAUAGGCGAAUAUGAAGACCUCAGGGCCGAGAACCAGAAAACAAAGGAGAAGUGUGACAAAAUUAGGCAAGAACGAGAUGAAGCUGUUAAAAAGCUGGAAGAAUUUCAGAAAAUUUCUCACAUGGUCAUAGAGGAAGUUAAUUUUAUGCAGAACCAUCUUGAAAUAGAGAAGACUUGUCGAGAAAGCGCCGAAGCUUUGGCAACCAAGCUAAAUAAAGAAAAUAAAACACUGAAACGAAUCAGCAUGUUAUACAUGGCCAAGCUGGGGCCGGAUGUAAUAACGGAGGAAAUCAACGCCGACGACGACGAUUUCUCCACGGACACAGAGGCCGCCCCCGAGACGUGCGUCUCCAUUCAGUGUCAGAAGCAAAUCAAAGAACUUCGAGAUCAGAUUGUAUCUGUUCAGGAGGAAAAGAAGAAACUGGCCAUUGAGCUGGAGAAUCUCAAGAGCAAACUCGUAGAAGUGAUAGAAGAAGUAAAUAAAGUUAAACAAGAAAAGGCUGUUUUACAUUCCGAAGUUCUCGAACAGAGGAAAGUCUUAGAAAAAUGCAACAGAGUGUCCAUGUUAGCAGUGGAAGAAUACGAGGAGAUGCAGGUCAGCCUGGAGCUGGAGAAAGACCUCCGGAAGAAAGCAGAGUCGUUUGCACAAGAGAUGUUCAUUGAACAAAACAAGCUCAAGAGACAAAGCCACCUUCUGCUGCAGAGCUCCGGCCCUGACCAGCAGCUUCUGAAAGCUUUAGAUGAGAAUGCAAAGCUCACGCAGCUCCUUGAAGAAGAGCGAAUUCAGCAUCAGCAGAAGGUCAAAGACUUAGAGGAGCGGCUGCAAAACGAAACCCUGCACAAAGAGAUCCACAGCCUCAAGCAGCAGCUGGAGCUCCUGGAGGAAGACAAGAAGGAGCUGGAACUGAAGUACCAGAGCUCAGAGGAGAAGGCCAGGAACUUAAAGCAUUCUGUGGACGAACUCCAGAAACGCGUGAACCAGUCUGAGAAUUCAGUACCUCCACCCCCUCCUCCUCCACCGCCACUCCCCCCUCCGCCUCCCAAUCCCAUCAGAUCUCUCAUGUCCAUGAUCCGGAAACGAUCCCACCCCAGUGGCAGUGGUGCUAAGAAAGAAAAGGCGGCGCAGCCAGAAGCAGCUGAAGAAGUCACAGACCUGAAGAGGCAAGCAGUGGAAGAAAUGAUGGAUAGAAUCAAAAAGGGGGUUCAUCUCAGACCCGUUAAUCAGACGACCAGGCCCAAGGCACAGGCAGAAUCUUCAAAAGGCUCUGAAAGUGCGGUGAAUGAGCUAAAAGGAAUACUGGGGACACUUAACAAAUCUACUAGCUCAAGAAGCUUAAAGUCCCUUGACCCCGAGAGCAGUGAAACUGAGUUAGAGAGGAUCUUGCGUCGCAGGAAGGUGACGGCAGAAGCAGAUAGCAGUAGUCCAACCGGGAUAUUAGCCACCUCAGAGUCCAAAUCCAUGCCCGUGUUGGGUUCUGUAUCCAGUGUAACAAAAACAGCCUUGAACAAGAAAACUCUGGAGGCAGAAUUCCACAGCCCGUCCCCCCCGGCACCUGAGGCAGGUGGAGGGCCCCGUAAGGUGGAAGAAUGCACACGUUCCAAGGUUACACUUCAGACCAAAUGGACAAACUCAUACAAUCCUUUGAGCUGCGGUGCAGUUUUCAACAAAAAGACAGAGCCAAGAGAACGAUUUGGCUCUGCCUGCCUUUGCCGUGCCAUUACGGUCACAGAGAAGGGUGCACCUUAGGCCUGCAACUUUCUUCUGUGAAGUUUGGGGGAGGCGUGUUUAAAAAAAAAAGUUCCUGAAAAACAGGGCUUCCCAAGGAAACAAGAAAAACCUGCUCGGCUGUGAUGCGGGCCGGGCCGGCUGCCGGCAAACAAAGUGGGACGUCUCAGUUUUCCACCGGCAGACAGACAGGAGAGCCCACUUCCUCUUUUGGACUUUUCCCAGGAAACGACUUUCUAAAGGCAGAUUUAAAUCUUUCCGUUUUCUGUCCUUGAAGGUGGUAAAUAUGAUUGCGGUUUUAUCCACUUCUGUUGUAAAUGAAACAGAGUUCAGACCGCCCGGCUGUGCGUCACUUGUUGGACGGCUGCCACGGACUAAUGCGGACGCCCCACUGGGAGACCAGAGAAGAGCUAUACUUUGAUUCCCCAGAUUGUGUUAAAUAGUCCAGCUGUUGGAUUUGAAAGAUGGUUACCUCAGAAGCGAAAGAGAAAUGAACUUGGCAUUUAUGCCUCAAACCGUUUUUCUACUGUUUGGCAAUCAGCUUUUCAGAAGCAGCGUUUUAUAAAAUAACUCUUAGCGCUUAAAAGUUUCAUUCACUGUAAUGUUCAAAAUGUCCCACCUUUAUAUUAUCAGUAAAAUUAAGCUUGAGUGAUAUGCAGAAUUUGCAUGAAAUAAGCAUCUCCCCCUUCAUUUCAUGAGCUUUGAUUGUAUUCAAUUGAGCUCAGAACCAUGUCGAUUAGGGCUCUCUUGGGCAUUAGUUAAUUUGAAUUGCAGCCGAAACGUUAGCUAGAAUGUUGUUGAAUAUAAUUGGGACGUGGAAAGUUGAUUUUGAAAGGAAUUUCAUUGAAUGCAAACAAUGAUUUGCUUUUUAAAAAAUUAGAAUGCCACGCUUUCAUCUCUUGCAACGUCUGAGAAACCACCGGGUCUCUUUAUGAAGUUCAGCUUUGGCACAGCCAUUUGCAAUUGUUCUGAUUCUGCCGGUACCAGUACAGUCUGGAGUCAGGACUGGCCUUUCACCCGCAAGCGGCCCCACCUGCCCAGGCGCCACGUCCCGGCUCUCCUGCAGUUGGCGAACAGUAGGUGCCGCCUUCACAGGGCACCCACGGCGAGCUUGGGCAUCAGGCUGCAUAGAGCGGUGUGCAUCGAUAUAUUGUCUCCUAGCUUCCGUGUUUGCCUUCCUGUUUGUGCAUGUGUCCUGAAAUUGCCUUUGAGCAUGUGGUCUAAAAUGACCCAUGAAAAAUCUCUGUUUGAAUGGGUCAGAAAUAACUGCCAGUCUGUUGUAGCAAGAAAAAUAUGUCGGGCAGGAAGCCCGAUUCCAUCGUUUGAGCCCCCCACCCCGCUCUCAGCAAGCUGGGUGCUGGUGAACAGAUGCUCCCGCUUCACUGUCCCUGGGGUCUUCCCGUGAAGCCGGGGUCCCUUGCGGCCUGACAUCCCGUGAUUUUGGCCUUGGCUGGUGUCACCUGGAAGACUUCUGCCCUCAGUUGCAGGCUUCACAGCACACAGCAGAAGGGCCACUGCUGCUCAGCAGGACCCACUCUGAAUUCCUUACGUGUGGUCCCCAUCCCUAGGUGCAGGGACGGGAGGGCAGGUAUGACCCAGUUCCUCGUGGGUUUGUGGCGUUAGAGCUUCUGGGGUUUGCACCUUGGAGAAAAGCUCUCAGGAACGCCACCGUGGCUGCUGAGAAUGAGAGCCUGGGCUCCUAGCACGUCAGGAAGGGAGCUGUCUGGCUGUCCCUGUGGGCUGGGGGUGGAGACAGGUAGAAUGAGGCCUUGGAGGAAGCGUUCUCAUUCCAGGAGAGCCCUGGGCAGCCCCCUGUUAGAACCAGGAAUGGGCCUGCUCACGUCAAAGCCGGAGGAUGGUCUGAAGGAGGGGGCUUCACAGAUCUGCAACACGGGAAUGGAAACGGAUUCAGGAAGACAGACGUCGGUCCGCACUCCCCCAGCAGCCCAGGACGGCGGUAUCACGUUCCGAGGAGCUGCCUCUGGGAAGUGGUGCCGAGGGAGAGGCAGGAGCAGGAGCUGCGUUGUAGGCCAGGCUCGUCCCCUCGGCCCGCCUCCCGUCCUCAUCCGUCCGAGGACAGCUCAGACUCGGGAUUGUCUCCGUCCCUUUCUGCCUCGCCCCACUGGGAUUCCAAGACGACCGUCAUUAUCCGGGAGAAACCAGUGACUCUGCCCCCGUGCCUAGAUGCAGACAGCUUGCCCGCUGCCCCUGGUUCAGUGAAAAUCCACAGAGGCCGGCCAGCGGCUUAACAGCAGACGCAACUGCAGUGGAAAAUUGAGGACGCACCCUGAGGUCUCCAGGUUUCCAGCGGAGCCCUGAGAGCACUUCCUGGAGGGCCUUGGUCCCCAGCUGACGAAGAUGCUUUUGCUAGGAUGUGUUCAGCAGCCCUCCACCUGCAGGCACCCAGGAGAUGCCCUGGUGAUUCUCCAGGGUGACCGAGGCCUCCCAGUAGCCCUGGAUACAGAGGAUGCACUGGCGGUGAAAACGGAGCUGAGCCAGUGGUAGUUUUAGAUCCCGUUUCCACC
Lepus europaeus (European hare) is the source of this 4423-nucleotide RNA transcript. It is a transcript of the gene named shootin 1, with no coding region annotated. NCBI's taxonomy places the organism in Eukaryota, Metazoa, Chordata, Mammalia, Lagomorpha, Leporidae. The transcript is spliced from 18 exons. The record is from RefSeq and is a predicted model, not a curated record.